UUCAAUUUUAGUUGUGCAUUAUAUUCUUAUUCGAAAUUGACUAAAUUCAAGAUUAAGUAUCAGAUUUAACUAAAUCUAAAUUUGACGUGUGAAGAACUUUGAGAAUUAAAAGAAAUCUUGUGCUCUGAUCUGUGGUUACCGAGAUCAAUCAGAUGAUCCAUAUUCAAGGUUCUAUAUAGGGUUCUUGUUUGCUGUAGUAUAUUUUUUAUUUGGCUUGUUGAAUUUUAUGUUGUCAAGCUAGUAAUUAACUUGUGCAAAACAGUUGAACAAAUAAUAAUGGCAUAAAAAAAUAUUUCUCCUACGUGUGAAAAUUAGAAAAGUAGAUACCAAUAGUGUCCCAUAAUCCAAGGUUAAUUGUACUGCCAUCAACCACAACAUUUGCAUUAAAGUUGUCAAAAACUAUAGGCACAUAGUGAUGAUUUCUUGCUUAAGUUUAAGCUUGGUUUUUUCUCCUAUUUGAAAAGCAUGCUAGCAAGAUUUAGUGAUAAUUUCUUGCUUGUUUCUGUUUGUAUAUAUUCCAAUAUUAUAUUCUGUUUCUUGUUUUGCUUUUUAAGUAUUUUAUGCAUUCUUGGAUUGGUGUGACACUCCUCAAAUCUUGAGUGCAGAUCAUAACAUUUAAUAUCUCAUUAGUUGUCCAUGGAACCAUUGCAGAAAAUGAUGAUUUUCACAAGGAAGAAUCCAACCCAUAUGCUGUUCCCGUUAGCAUGGCAUCUUCAGAGUCUUGGUUAGUCCUUUAGGGAUAACAACCAUUACAAUAAUUAGAAGGAUUGUAUCAAAUCACGAGGCAUUCCAGAAAUGGAAUGAAAAGAAAGGGGAGAGUGAGAAGAGAUACUACGACAGUAAGACUCAUGCCCAUGAAGACUGAAUGAUUUCUAUUGUUCUCGGCAUUAGAUAUGGAAGCUUAGUAAAUUUGUAGGCCUUAUUUUAUUCUUUCUCUGUUAGUAAAAUAAAAUGAUAAACAUAAAAUGAUAGUUCUGUACUAUUGUUCAAUUUGAACCAUAAUUGGACAUUGCGAUCUUUGCAUAUGAUUAAUCAUUUGCUAAACUGAUUUAGCCAGUGAUAUGUUUGUAGUUAACCAUGAUUAUUAUCUCUGAAUAAACUCAUGGUUAAGUAAACCAUGGCUGAAUUAGUUUGGAAAAAUGAUCCAACUUUAUGAUUCAAGCUGAGCAAAGCUAUCAUUUUCACUUUAGUUUGGUUUUUGGUCUCUUAUCUAGAUUUAUCCCCUAGCUUUUUUUAAUAACAUGUUACAUUUUAUUAUUGCUGUAUGUGAAUUUUAUGAGGAUUGAUCGUCUUUGGUCGAAUUCCUUUUGUUCUUCUUUGAUAAAUUAGUAGAUAUAUUCAUUGA
Molecule: long non-coding RNA, 1345 nt
Organism: Arachis duranensis
Lineage: Eukaryota; Viridiplantae; Streptophyta; Magnoliopsida; Fabales; Fabaceae
Exons: 3
Source: RefSeq, a predicted model, not a curated record